Long non-coding RNA from Nematostella vectensis (starlet sea anemone), 1690 nucleotides. RefSeq lists it as uncharacterized. Lineage: Eukaryota; Metazoa; Cnidaria; Anthozoa; Actiniaria; Edwardsiidae. The transcript has 2 exons. The record is from RefSeq and is a predicted model, not a curated record.
GAACAUCGCACUCUUACGAAGAAUAUCUUUUUUUACGAGUAAUAGAGGUUCCCUGAUACCCAUACCAAACAAGUCUAGGUGUGGCGUUUUGUGCUGGUCCUACCUCUGACAUGGCACCAUUGGGCCAUCAAGGCGAGGGCAUGGGUCCCCAAGCAAGGUGGACGUGCAACUGCACAUGGACUCAGCAACUGAUGUAAUGUUAUAUCCACCCUGUAGAACAAAAAGCAGAAAUGCUAGUAUUGCCCCUUAAAUAAUGUAUUUCCAAUGUUGUGACCUUUUAGUGAACCCUUAUUUUAAUGGACCCUGAGGAUGGCGGAUUAAUAAAGGCGGCAGAGGUAAAGAGUAUUAUACAUGAGAUAGCAGUGAGGGACACACCUCCAGAAUGACCACCACUUUGCCACCAGCCAAACUCAUCAGCAUGUUCGUCAGAUGGCAGUAACCUUCAGGGGUGAUGUCGCAGUAUCCCUUGGGGUCCCCUCUUGCUGAGUCAAAUCCAGCAGAGACCAAUACAAUAUCCGGAUCAAACUAAAACAGAAUGCAAACAAUCCUCUCAUACUUCUAUAGGGAAUAUUAAAUAGAGGAAAAGUAUGUGGAACCUGGAUAUAACGAUAUAUAAACAUAGGAAAAUUGCAAUAUACUGUAUAGCCUAUAUCCAGGACUCAAGUUAGAACAAGGUCCAAGGUUUUGUAAAGAUGAAGUGCUGGUUAUGCACUGUACCUCAUAUGCAAUGGGAAGCAAAAUUUGCUGAAAAGCAGCUAUGUAGUCAGCAUCACCAAUAUGGCUCUAGUUAAAAAAAAAGCAACAUGAGACACAAAGACCAAUAUGGCGCUGUCUGAUAAGCAAUCAAUAUCAGACACCAAAUAAAGACAAAUUAUGGCUCUAAGUUAAUAAACCAACAACCUGAGGCACAAGGACCAGUUUGGCUCUUAAUAAACCAAUUACAAGAGACACAAGGACCUAUAUGAUGAAUAUCGGACACACAAACACCAAAUAAAGACCAAUUAUGGCUCUGAGCUAAUAAACCAUCAACAUGAGGCACAAGGACCAGUUUGGCUCUUAAUAAACCAAUUACAAGAGACACAAGGACCUAUAUGAUGAAUAUCAGACACAAACACCAAAUAAAGACCAAUUAUGGCUCUGAGCUAAUAAACCAUCAACAAUGGACACAAGUACCUACAGUAUAUGAUGUUAUAUGAUAAACCAACAGCAUGGGAAAGAAAGAGCCUUGAAACGAGAAGAUGUGUUCUCACCUUAUUCCAUGGGACAUUGACGUUAAAUCCUUUGCCCUGCCCUUUACCAACAAUAUCGUAAUUGGCUUGUGCAGAGAAUGGAUAGAAGUUUGCAUGAUCAUAACGAUGAAGAGAAAAGUAGAGAACACUGAAAAAAAAAAAAGAAUCACAAAAUAAGGUAACAGAUUUAAUAAACCUGUGGAUAACUGCCUUAACGUUAAAUCCUUUGCCCUGCCCUUUACCAACAAUAUCGUAAUUGGCUUGUGCAGAGAAUGGAUAGAAGUUUGCAUGAUCAUAACGAUGAAGAGAAAAGUAGAAUAAGGUAACAGAUUUAAUAAACCUGUGGAUAACUGCCUUAAACUAUGUGUCACCUUGGAUCAGACUCAAAAAGAUUUUGCGUUCCAUUGCCGUGAUGUAUAUCCCAGUCGACAAUUAAAAUCCUGAAAUUUGACAAAGCAAAA